GUAGGGAAUAUUGGGCAAUGGUCGGAAGACUGACCCAGCCAUGCCGCGUGCAGGAAGACGGCCCUCUGGGUUGUAAACUGCUUUUAUCUGGGAAGAAAAAGGCCAUGCGUGGCAAAUUGCCGGUACCAGAUGAAUAAGCACCGGCUAACUCCGUGCCAGCAGCCGCGGUAAUACGGAGGGUGCGAGCGUUGUCCGGAUUUAUUGGGUUUAAAGGGUGCGUAGGCGGCUGAUUAAGUCAGCGGUGAAAGACUUCGGCUUAACCGGAGCAGUGCCGUUGAUACUGGUUGGCUUGAGUGUCGGAGGGGUACAUGGAAUUGAUGGUGUAGCGGUGAAAUGCAUAGAUACCAUCAGGAACACCGAUAGCGAAGGCACUGUACUGGCCGACAACUGACGCUGAUGCACGAAAGUGUGGGGAUCGAACAGGAUUAGAAACCCCUGUAGUCC
RNAcentral lists this ribosomal RNA (444 nucleotides) under uncultured bacterium. RNAcentral's name for it is "partial 16S ribosomal RNA". It matches the Rfam family "Bacterial small subunit ribosomal RNA", at positions 354 to 796 of the family's 1533-position model. The record is from RNAcentral.